This 75-nucleotide transfer RNA is filed under the name Ralstonia solanacearum. RNAcentral's name for it is "tRNA-Met". It matches the Rfam family "tRNA". Rfam says of the family: Transfer RNA (tRNA) molecules are approximately 80 nucleotides in length. Their secondary structure includes four short double-helical elements and three loops (D, anti-codon, and T loops). Lineage: Bacteria; Pseudomonadati; Pseudomonadota; Betaproteobacteria; Burkholderiales; Burkholderiaceae. The record is from RNAcentral.
GGGCCUGUAGCUCAGGGUUAGAGCAGACGACUCAUAAUCGUUUGGUCGUGGGUUCGAAACCCACCGGGCCCACCA